This is a long non-coding RNA of Etheostoma spectabile (orangethroat darter), 256 nucleotides long. RefSeq lists it as uncharacterized. The transcript is spliced from 3 exons. The record is from RefSeq and is a predicted model, not a curated record. Lineage: Eukaryota; Metazoa; Chordata; Actinopteri; Perciformes; Percidae.
GGGAGGUGUGUUCAGGUGCAUUCUGGGCCUGCUGGUCUCACAGGGGAGGUGUGUUCAGGUGCAUUGUGGGCGUGCUGGUCUUACAGGGAGAUGUGUUCAGGUGCAUUCUGGGACGUGCUGGUGUUACAGGGAGGUGUGUUCAGGUGCAUUCUGGGCAUGCUGGGGUUACAGGGAGGUGUGUUCAGGUGCAUUCUGGGCGUGCUGGUCUUUACAGGAGGUGUUCGGUGCAUCUGGGCGUGCUGGCUCUACAGUGAGG